This 260-nucleotide long non-coding RNA is filed under the name Lupinus angustifolius (narrow-leaved blue lupine). Its description in RNAcentral is "long non-coding RNA (LANG_LNC001141)". Lineage: Eukaryota; Viridiplantae; Streptophyta; Magnoliopsida; Fabales; Fabaceae. The record is from RNAcentral.
UUGAAUUCAUUUCUUGAGGGGAGCACAACUAAACAUGAUUGGUGGUGGUCACAAAGGAAGCAUGAGGACAAUGUAGUUAGUGAAGAAGAGCAGCAAGGGGUUAUUCGGUUGUUGCAGCAAUUCCCAAUAGUGUUUCGGGAACGCAUAAGCCUACCGCCAGAAAGAAAACAGAUGCAUUACAUUCAGUUAGUGGCGCGUACUGGACCAGUUAAUGUGAGGCCAUACAGAUAUCCACAUUAUCAGAAGGAUGAGAUUGAGAG